RNAcentral lists this ribosomal RNA (316 nucleotides) under uncultured bacterium. RNAcentral's name for it is "bacterial SSU rRNA". It matches the Rfam family "Bacterial small subunit ribosomal RNA", at positions 32 to 327 of the family's 1533-position model. The record is from RNAcentral.
AAUCAACGCUGGCGGCGUGCCUCAGACAUGCAAGUCGAACGCGAAAGUCCCCUUCGGGGGACAAGUAGAGUGGCGCACGGGUGAGUAACACGUAGGUAAUCUACCUUCGGAUGGGGGGAUAACAAUCGGAAACGGUUGCUAAUACCGCAUAAUGCAGCGGCACCUAAUGGUGACAGUUGUUAAAGCGGGGGAUCGAAAGACCUCGCGUCUGAAGAGGAGCCUGCGGCGGAUAGCUAGUUGGUAAGGUAACGGCUUACCAAGGCGACGAUCCGUAGCCGGCCUGAGAGGGCGGUCGGCCACACUGACACUGACAUAC